GGAUGUGUGCCUGAAUAAAGGACUACUUUGAUAGAGUAGAACAUAGGGACUUAGAUUUCCCUCACCUCCU
This 70-nucleotide transfer RNA is filed under the name Zonosaurus ornatus. RNAcentral describes it as "tRNA-Ile". Lineage: Eukaryota; Metazoa; Chordata; Lepidosauria; Squamata; Gerrhosauridae. The record is from RNAcentral.